UUUCGAGUGAUUCUCUACCUAAACAGGCGAUUGUCAUCCUUCAUUGGUGUACCCAGAUGGGAAAAUGAGUCAGCAUUUUGCAAGCUUAAAACCUGGCGAUGUAGUGGAAGUGAAAGGGUAAGACAUACACAUGAGCAACCAGUAGGCAAGUAUUUUUCUGUAUUUCUUCUUACCAUUGGAUCCAUUUGGUUGAUUAGAAUGAGUUGAAAUGGAAUGAAAUGAUCAUUCUUGGACUCCACUUCAGAAUGAUUAUUUCCUUAUGAUAGUGAAUGAUGAUUCUACUUUUAAUGUGUUUUUUGUCAUAUUUUUAGUCAACCAAAUAUGGGAAUGGAUAUUUUGAUGGAAUAAUCAUUACAUUCCAAUGAACCAAACACUACCUAAGUAUUUAGCAAUUAUUCAUUUCA
Non-coding RNA from Camellia sinensis, 404 nucleotides. The record is from RefSeq and is a predicted model, not a curated record. Lineage: Eukaryota; Viridiplantae; Streptophyta; Magnoliopsida; Ericales; Theaceae.